AGAGCCUGAGCGGUUGUUUGCAGCCAAAGGAAAGAUUUUUGAAGAAACGAGAGAGACGGUGCCCGUGGAAAGAACGUGGAGGCUGGAGGUCGUGUUUUGUGCACAGAGCCAGGGGGUCGCAGAACACCGGCACAGGAUGAGAGAGAGCAGCAGAGAGCAGGGACAUUUCCCCAACUGCAUCAAGAUGUUAGGCUUUCACAAUGAGUCAUCCCUUUACCAAAUAUCCCCUGAUACACUUCUGCUCCCCUGUUCAGUCUCCCACUCGGAGGGUCUCAGGCUACAUCUCUUCUCACACUCUCGUCCACGAUGAAGCCAGACUGUUAUUUUGUUUUUACUUUCCUGUUCAGUCUCUCCUUCCUUUCUCCCGUCUGUCCCAUAAACUGCAAUAAAACACAAUAUGCCUGGCCAAUGGACGGACCCCAGCUGUGCUGUGACAAGUGCCCUCCAGGGAAACAUAUGGUGCGGCGUCCAGAUCGCACUUGUGGAAUUGAGUGUCAGUCCUGCACUGGUCGCCGGUACACGGAUGCUCCCAACGAGGAGCUGGGCUGCGAAUUUUGCGAAAACUGCGAUAAACCACACAUGGAGUAUCACUCGGAAUGUAGCAGCACUCGUAACGCUGUUUGCAGAUGUGAAGCUGGCUACAGAUGCCAAGACGAUCCCUGCAAACAGUGUGUGCCGAUACCAUCCACCACUACCACCAAACCCACACUCCCUCCAUCCACUACAGGAGCCAUCCCCACUCUCCGGACAACUUCUCAACCAAUCAAAGAGACGGCGUGGUUCGUAGUAAUAAUCGCCCUCCUGUGUGCAGGGAUCACGCUUGCUGCUGUUGCAAAAAUCAAGCCCUUUAUGCUGUGGAUCAAAUCCAAACACGGCUACAUGUUGGCUAAAGAUCCCCAACCAGCAUCACCAUGCUCCGAGGAUGAGCAAGUAUCAACCCCCAUUCAGGAAGUUCUUGGGAAAUGUGAAGUAUGAGUUGAAGAGCCUGAACUUGAUGAGCACAUUAUUAUUAUAUGGGCAACGUGGCGACGGGGUAGAAAGGGUGCGCCGGGAACCACAAGGUUGGUGGUGUGAGUCCCUGAGCAAGACACCUAACUGCUAAUGUAAUGCAAGUUGCUUUGGAUAAAAGCGUCAGCUACAUGAUGUAAUGAGCAGGGAUUUGACAUUUAGUGCAAAACAUUUCUGUUGCUUUUGGACACUGAUGACAAAUGGGGGCAAACAGACACUGCAGUGAUUGUACAUACGCUUUAGGUUGUGCAGUAUGUUGUCCAAAGGCAGGUAUGUACUAUUGUACAUGACAGAUAUUUCACAUCUUCGUUUAGGUGUUUUUGUGUAUAUACACUUUUCAGAUAAUACAUCAAAUGUAAAUGUUUUUAACAUGAAUUUCUACUUUCUUUAUUGUGGAUAUAAUAGUUGUAAAGUGCCUCAUAUAUACAGAACAUUAAACAUUCAACUCUAAUACUUGAAAGCAAGAAAUUUAUUAAAGAGUAUUUAUCUGAUGUCCUAUUAACUUACAAGGCAGAUCACCCUCCAGCUUUUCUUCCCACAGUUCAUGUUUUUUGUUGGUACUGACUGCAUGUUUUCUUGGAACCUGGAGAUAAAAAUGUCUCUGCAGAGCACUGAGAUUUCUUCACAUUUUGCAAAAGGCGUGAUGGAUCGGCUCCACACUCAUACGUGGUUUCACAUCCUUUAAGACAACGUGUCUGUGAUGAGCCUGGACGUAACCACCAACUGCAAUCUUCUAGGGUUUUCAGGAUGAAUCAUAGCUCUUCCUCUUUGGACAUGUGGCAGUCCUUCCCCUGCUCCUGGGAGGGAAAGAACACGCUCUCAGUCUCUCCCCUCCACUCCUCUUUAGAGAGAUGGGGACUCGGAGAAGAAGUGGGAUGGAACACAGGACAGUAUCUCUCUUCUUCUUCUUCUUCUUCUUCUUCCUCACUAUUCACUCUUUCGGAUUUCUUCACGCAUUCAGUGGUCGGUCCAGCUUGGCCUGUAAACUGACUCAGCAAGCUAAAGAUGACUGUCCCUGGAUUGUGGACAUGGACCGGACCUACGGAGAUUAGAACAAACAAAGAAUGCACUUAAAGGGAUGUUUUAAUUGACCCAUGGAGGUACAUUGAAAUAUAGUUCACACAGUCAAACAACUAAAAACAACUCUGAAUAAUUACAGUAACCCAGCUGCAUCUUUUACAUGUUUACGUUUUAUUUUCAUCAUGACUCCACAGAGUGAGUCAAGCAUUUCACAUGAAAGUCUUUGUUUCAGUCUUCAGUACCCAGAUUGGCUGUGGAAAGGAAGGAUGGCUGCUGCUUUGCACUGAAUGAGUCUCUGGGGAUGUGAUGAGUCGAGUCGUUUGACUUGUGAGAAGCAUCUGCUCCUCCCUAAAGAACAUGUCCGUUAGUUUGGUGCAAAAAAAAAAUAUAUAUAUAUAUAUAUGAUAGAUAGUAGCCUGGAAAUGAGCUACUUACCAGAUUGCAUAAUUUUAUAACAGCUGGAAAACAAUAGAUACAUAGAUGAAAAAUAGAAAGUCAAUUUUUUAGACAUAUCCACCAAAGAUGCAUCAACAUUCAUUUGUUUUAUAAAGAAAAUAACAAUCCAUAGAGCUAAUGAUACAUUCCUGGAAGCAUUUCAGUCAAUUGUAACGGGAUCAUAACGUUCAAGGAUGUAAACUCGCUUGACAACAUUACCUCGCUUGAAACAUGUUUCACCUCUGGUGCUACAAACGAACAAAAGCAUCCCAAGCGACGCGCAUCCCACGGCAACCAAUGGACACAAGAUGGCCACCAGGUCAUCGUUUGUCUUGUC
Molecule: long non-coding RNA, 2800 nt
Organism: Gasterosteus aculeatus aculeatus (three-spined stickleback)
Lineage: Eukaryota; Metazoa; Chordata; Actinopteri; Perciformes; Gasterosteidae
Source: Ensembl